CACGUAGGGCGCAAGCGUUGUCCGGAAUUACUGGGCUUAAAGAGUUCGUAGGCGGCGCAGAAAGUAGGGUGUGAAAGCCCUCGGCUUAACCGAGGAAUUGCGCUCUAAACUACUGUGCUUGAGGAACCUAGAGGUGAGCAGAACUGAUGGUGGAGCGGUGAAAUGCGUUGAUAUCAUCAGGAAUACCGGAGGCGAAGGCGGCUCACUGGGGGUUUUCUGACGCUGAGGAACGAAAGCCAGGGGAGCGAACGGG
This 253-nucleotide ribosomal RNA is filed under the name uncultured bacterium. RNAcentral describes it as "partial 16S ribosomal RNA". It matches the Rfam family "Bacterial small subunit ribosomal RNA", at positions 524 to 776 of the family's 1533-position model. The record is from RNAcentral.